AGAGUUUGAUCCUGGCUCAGAGUGAACGCUGGCGGCAUGCCUAACACAUGCAAGUCGAACGGAGUUUGUCUGCGAUUACAUCAAGGGCAAACUGAGUGGCAGACGGGUGAGUAAUACGUUAACAAUCUGCCCUCGAGUGGGGGAUAACUCCGGGAAACCGGAGCUAAUACCGCAUAAGACCACAGCCCGACAUCGGGCAGAGGUCAAAGCCUCGCAAGGGGCGCUGGAGGAGGAGUGCACGGCCUAUCAGCUAGUUGGUGAGGUAACGGCUCACCAAGGCGACGACGGGUAGGCGGUCUGAAAGGACGACCGCCCACAAUGGCACUGAGACACGGGCCAUACUCCUACGGGAGGCAGCAGUGGGGAAUUUUGCGCAAUGGGGGAAACCCUGACGCAGCGAUGCCGCGUGGAGGACGAAGGUCUUCGGAUUGUAAACUCCUUUUGUAAGGGACAAUACGUCACGUGAAGAGCGUGACUAGAUGGUACCUUACGAAUAAGCCACGGCUAACUUCGUGCCAGCAGCCGCGGUAGACGAAGGUGGCGAGCGUUACUCGGAUUUACUAGGCGUAAAGCGUGGGUAGGUGGUUCGGUCAGUCUGUUGUGAAAGCUCCCGGCUCAACUGGGAGAGGUCAAUGGAUACUGCCGGACUUGAAUGCGGGAGAGGUCGCUGGAAUUCCUGGUGUAGCGGUGAAAUGCGUAGAGAUCAGGAGGAACACCGAUGGCGAAAGCAGGCGACUGGACCGUUAUUGACACUGAGCCACGAAAGCUAGGGGAGCAAACAGGAUUAGAUACCCUGGUAGUCCUAGCUGUAAACGAUGCUCACUAGAUGUGGGGGGUAUCGACCCCUUCCGCGUCGACGCUAACGCAUUAAGUGAGCCGCCUGGGGAGUACGGCCGCAAGGUUGAAACUCAAAGGAAUUGACGGGGGCCCGCACAAGCGGUGGAGCAUGUGGUUUAAUUCGACGCAACGCGAAGAACCUUACCUGGGCUUGAACCGCUGGUAGUAAUUCCCUGGAAACAGGGGGUGAACCGUAAAGUCGGAUGCCAGUAGAGGUGCUGCAUGGCUGUCGUCAGCUCGUGUCGUGAGAUGUUGGGUUAAGUCCCGCAACGAGCGCAACCCCCAUCCUAUGUUGCCAAUCCCGCAAGGGAUGCACUCUUAGGAGACUGCCUCGGAUAACGGGGAGGAAGGCGGGGACGACGUCAAGUCAUCAUGGCCUUUAUGUCCAGGGCUACACACGUGCUACAAUGGCCGGCACAACGGGAUGCAAUACCGCAAGGUGGAGCCAAUCCUCAAAGCCGGCCCCAGUUCGGAUUGUGGGCUGAAACCCGCCCACAUGAAGGUGGAAUCGCUAGUAAUCGCAGAUCAGCAGGCUGCGGUGAAUACGUUCCCGGGCCUUGUACACACCGCCCGUCACACCACGAAAGCCCGUUGCAACAGAAGUCCUGGGUUUCCCAGGCCCAAGUUGUGGCUGGUGAUUGGGGUGAAGUCGUAACAAGGUA
RNAcentral lists this ribosomal RNA (1499 nucleotides) under metagenome. Its description in RNAcentral is "bacterial SSU rRNA". It matches the Rfam family "Bacterial small subunit ribosomal RNA". The record is from RNAcentral.